UGGGAGAAGGCUGUUACUCU
This 20-nucleotide microRNA is filed under the name Monodelphis domestica (gray short-tailed opossum). Its description in RNAcentral is "mdo-miR-30c-1-3p". Its record names the gene mdo-miR-30c-1-3p. Lineage: Eukaryota; Metazoa; Chordata; Mammalia; Didelphimorphia; Didelphidae. The record is from miRBase by way of RNAcentral.